This 441-nucleotide ribosomal RNA is filed under the name uncultured bacterium. RNAcentral describes it as "bacterial SSU rRNA". It matches the Rfam family "Bacterial small subunit ribosomal RNA", at positions 958 to 1398 of the family's 1533-position model. The record is from RNAcentral.
AACGCGAAGAACCUUACCUGGGCUCGAAAUGUAGUGGACCGGGGUGGAAACAUCCCUUUUUCGCAAGAAACUGCUAUAUAGGUGCUGCAUGGCUGUCGUCAGCUCGUGUCGUGAGAUGUUGGGUUAAGUCCCGCAACGAGCGCAACCCUUAUCGUUAGUUGCCAGCGGGUUAUGCCGGGCACUCUAGCGAAACCGCCUCGGAUAACGGGGAGGAAGGUGGGGAUGACGUCAAGUCCUCAUGGCCUUUAUGUCCAGGGCUACACACGUGCUACAAUGGUCGGUACAAACUGUCGCAAACCCGCGAGGGGGAGCUAAUCGGAAAAAGCCGGCCUCAGUUCGGAUUGGAGUCUGCAAUUCGACUCCAUGAAGCUGGAAUCGCUAGUAAUCGCGGAUCAGAACGCCGCGGUGAAUACGUUCCCGGGCCUUGUACACACCGGAGUA